GUUAAAAACGGUGUGUUGAAUAGCACACUACUUUUCACAGGUAAUUUUUAGUGUGUGUUAAUGUGCACACCUGUGCAUAUCUGUGUUCACUGACACUCAAUUGUGUGUAAUAGAACACUCAACUGCACAGUGUGUAACUGAACACUCCUGACAUUCAUCUAUGGACAAAAUUAGUUUAAGUACAAGGUGCUAAUGUUAAAGAAUUUUACUCAAUGACAUCGCUCUAAAAUCUCAUUGGUUAGUUUGUAGUUUUCUCACUUCACUGCCACAUGUUUCUCUUUGAAACUCAAGAGAACCAGCUUGGAGAAGUUGGAGCUAGCUGAAGCAACAACUUGAUCUAGUCUAGAUAUAUAAUGAUAUAAUAGUAUCUACCAGUUCUCCAAGGUCUUUUGGUCAAAGAGAGAUCAAUCCAGCACCCAAGGACGCGAGGACACGGGUGUAUCAAAGCAAGACAGCUGUACAUAUAGCCAGGAGUACUCAGUCCUGAUAAUAGCAGCCAUGGAGCUCGUCUACAUGUCUAUGCCAGUGAAUAAGAACCAAGAACAAUGUCAAUUCUUGAUGCUGAAGAAUGUGGAGACAAACAUGAAGAGCCCAUG
This is a long non-coding RNA of Halichondria panicea, 596 nucleotides long. RefSeq lists it as uncharacterized. Lineage: Eukaryota; Metazoa; Porifera; Demospongiae; Suberitida; Halichondriidae. The transcript is spliced from 3 exons. The record is from RefSeq and is a predicted model, not a curated record.